RNAcentral lists this ribosomal RNA (466 nucleotides) under uncultured bacterium. RNAcentral describes it as "bacterial SSU rRNA". It matches the Rfam family "Bacterial small subunit ribosomal RNA", at positions 329 to 792 of the family's 1533-position model. The record is from RNAcentral.
GCCCAGACUCCUACGGGAGGCAGCAGUGAGGAAUAUUGGUCAAUGGCCGGAAGGCUGAACCAGCCAAGUCGCGUGAGGGACGACUGCCCUAUGGGUUGUAAACCUCUUUUAUAAGGGAAGAAUAAAUGCUACGUGUAGCAUGAUGCCUGUACCUUAUGAAUAAGCAUCGGCUAACUACGUGCCAGCAGCCGCGGUAAUACGUAGGUGGCAAGCGUUAUCCGGAUUUACUGGGUGUAAAGGGCGUGUAGGCGGGGACGCAAGUCAGAUGUGAAAACCACGGGCUCAACCUGUGGCCUGCAUUUGAAACUGUGUUUCUUGAGUACUGGAGAGGCAGACGGAAUUCCUAGUGUAGCGGUGAAAUGCGUAGAUAUUAGGAGGAACACCAGUGGCGAAGGCGGUCUGCUGGACAGCAACUGACGCUGAGGCGCGAAAGCGUGGGGAGCAAACAGGAUUAGAUACCCCGGUA